ACCUUGGUAGCUCAAUGGUAGAGCCGUGAACAUUAGUUCGCUUGUUGUGGGUUCGAAUCCCACCCAAAAAA
This 71-nucleotide transfer RNA is filed under the name Pseudoalteromonas piscicida. RNAcentral describes it as "tRNA-OTHER". It matches the Rfam family "tRNA". Rfam says of the family: Transfer RNA (tRNA) molecules are approximately 80 nucleotides in length. Their secondary structure includes four short double-helical elements and three loops (D, anti-codon, and T loops). Further hydrogen bonds mediate the characteristic L-shaped molecular structure. tRNAs have two regions of fundamental functional importance: the anti-codon, which is responsible for specific mRNA codon recognition, and the 3' end, to which the tRNAs corresponding amino acid is attached (by aminoacyl-tRNA synthetases). tRNAs cope with the degeneracy of the genetic code in two manners: having more than one tRNA (with a specific anti-codon) for a particular amino acid; and 'wobble' base-pairing, i.e. permitting non-standard base-pairing at the 3rd anti-codon position. The record is from RNAcentral. Lineage: Bacteria; Pseudomonadati; Pseudomonadota; Gammaproteobacteria; Alteromonadales; Pseudoalteromonadaceae.